UUAAUAGACCAUCUACCACCCUGAAUGGGCCCGAUCUUGUCUAAUCUCAGAAGCUAAGCAGGUUUGGGCCUGCUUUGUACUUGGAUAGGAGGAGAUAUUGUCCUGUGGAAGGUAAGAAGACAUUAAA
Molecule: ribosomal RNA, 127 nt
Filed under: Prolemur simus (greater bamboo lemur)
Lineage: Eukaryota; Metazoa; Chordata; Mammalia; Primates; Lemuridae
Source: RNAcentral